GACAAACGCUGGCGGCGUGCUUAACACAUGCAAGUCGAACGAAGUUUUUCUUUCGGGAGGAACUUAGUGGCGGACGGGUGAGUAACGCGUGGGUAACCUGCCCUGUACACGGGACAACAGCUGGAAUCGGCCGCUAAUACCGCAUAAGCCCUUAGCACUGUAUGGUGCAUAGGGAAACGGAGCAAUCCGGUACAGGAUGGACCCGCGUCCGAUUAGCCAGUUGGCAGGGUAACGGCCUACCAAAGCGACGAUCAGUAGCCGAUCUGAGAGGAUGUACGGCCACAUUGGGACUGAGACACGGCCCAGACUCCUACGGGAGGCAGCAGUGGGGAAUAUUGCACAAUGGAGGAAACUCUGAUGCAGCGACGCCGCGUGAGUGAAGAAGUAUUUCGGUAUGUAAAGCUCUAUCAGCAGGGAAGAAAAUGACGGUACCGGACGAAGAAGCACCGGCUAAAUACGUG
RNAcentral lists this ribosomal RNA (461 nucleotides) under uncultured bacterium. RNAcentral's name for it is "partial 16S ribosomal RNA". It matches the Rfam family "Bacterial small subunit ribosomal RNA", at positions 28 to 507 of the family's 1533-position model. The record is from RNAcentral.